Molecule: long non-coding RNA, 914 nt
Organism: Dromiciops gliroides (monito del monte)
Lineage: Eukaryota; Metazoa; Chordata; Mammalia; Microbiotheria; Microbiotheriidae
Exons: 3
Source: RefSeq, a predicted model, not a curated record
GGCAAGCAGGGAAGCCGAGAAGACGCGGAUCUGUUCUUUUCAGAGGCCCAGGGGUGGAGGGAGGAGGUGAGAAUUAAGCCGAAGAUACCGUCACACACACACACACACACACACACACACACACACACACACGAGGGAAGGGUCCCCCACCAACCACCGCGCCACGCCGACCGAGCGGCAACAGCAGAGCGCUUCCUUACCUGGAGCAGAGAGACAGCGAACCCAAUCAUCAAAUCCAUGGGGAAACGAACUGCUAGGAAGCUCCCCCUCCUCCAAAAAAAAAAAAAAAAGCCCAAUGGCUUCCCUCUCCCAGUGCCGGAGCCUGGGGAGGGAGAAUCUCGGGCUCCCUUGUCGAUCCGGCUUUCUACAAGGCUGCCUAAAUGAGAGGACCAGGGCACCAGACCUGUGCACACGCUGCUAGACGCUGCAUAGGCUGCUAAAUGGCUUGUCUUUUCUUCAAAUGACAAUUUCAUCCUUUGAAAACCAUAGCUACCAUUCGGUGACAACCAAGUCACCUACUGACCCCAAGAUACAAUCACCUCACUUUAAGGAAAGACCUGUAUACACACCUAACAUGCCUUUGCUUAAUCUCUUCUGUAAAAUGAGCUGAAAAAUCCAAAGAUCUUAUGAAUGUAUAAUGAGCCAACACUAGUCUCACGCCUCAACCAGGACUUCCUGAAAGUCGACGGAUGAAUGACAGGCCCUGCGGGGGCAUUGAGUCAAGUAACCGGCACGUAGGUUCUUCCCGCCCUAGGAAGGGGGUGUUUGGGUUGGAGAUGUGCAUGAGUAAGGGUGUGUGUUUAACAAUAAAUUGCACUAGGAGGUAUCGGUUACGCAGGUGUCCUGGAAAUCCCGGCUUCCACGACAUCCUCAUAUAUGGAGGGGUCCUCGGAGAAGCCACCCCCUACACACAU